AACCGCUGAAGCCGCCGUUGUUUCUGCAGGUACAGGCAGUACCCCCAAGGACUAGAGCAAGGACUACUGAAGAGUUGAUCGCCUCCAACGCAGCUGUGGUUGCAUCGCAUGGCAGAGUGCUAGAGUCUAACGCUGUUGUGGUGGAGUCAAACAACAGGCUGACGGCUGCCAUCUAUCAGCUCAUCGCCCGCCUCGGCGAAUCCAGCAACAGUAGGCCAUGAAGUGGGGCAAGGAAGGUUGGUUAGAUUAUUUAGGCAGAGGCGCUGUGCUGCUUGCAAACGUUGGGUCGUAUGGUCGAAUGCCUGCUGAAUUGUUUCUAAUGCCUGCUUGCAGACUUUGGGCCCUAUCGAAUGCCUGCCGGAUUGUUUGUAGUUCAAGUUUUGCCACCAUGAUAGAUAUCCCAACUAGAUGACAGGAGAUAGGUGGGUUUCCUUUUUGCUGGUAUUGCUGAGAAGGCAAAUUUGACAAUUUGACCUCGAAACGAAAUAAAAUCACAGAAUGAACUGGGUGCGAAACUAUUUCACACCCCUGACCCUUUUGUGUAGCGCCCGCCACGCCGGCGCCCCACCCUACGGUGCAGCGCCUAGCUCUGGGGCGUUGAACCUCUGUCCACCGUGGCAGCCAAUGGGCCCGCACCCAGUAGUGCAACGCCUCCGAGCUAGGCGCCGCACAUGUAAUGUGCAGCGCCUAGCGGCUAGGCGCUGCACUGUGACUUAUCCAGCCACUUGGCUGGGCCCCCCUACCCCACCCCCACCCCCACCACACACUCUCUCACUCUCUCCCCAAGGUUUGCCCCCUCUCCCACUCUCUCCCCCUCUCAAAUCUUCUUCCAAAUCUUGAAAAUUUGAAGAAUUUGUCCGUGGAUUUCGAAGUCAAACCCUCCCUCAAGGUAAUAAUCUCCGAUCCCCUUGUUUUGAUCCAAGUAAAGUUCUCCCAUUGCUCAUUUGUUGCUAGUUUGGGGAAACCCUAGUUUUGUUAGGAUCUAGAGAUUUGCAUGGAGAUGUGAGAUGUUUGUUAGCCAAUUUCUAUGAUUAGGCUUUGUUAGUAUGCUAGGGUUAUUCUUAUGGGUGUUCUUAUGUUGGUGCUAGGGUUAGGUUUAGGGCUAGGGUUAUGGUUAGGGUUAUGGUUAUGGUUAGGGUUAGGGUUAUGGUUAGGGUUAGGGUUGUUGUUUCAUAUAUACAUUAGGGUUUGUAUUCCGUGUUAAUCCAUGGAUUAGUACUCAUGGAAGCAAUGUUACCUUGUGUUCUUUGAAUGCUUAUAGGGAUGGGAAGAACAUGUGUGUUUGUUCCUCAUGGGGACAAAGACGCUUUUUUGAAAGGCAAUAAAGAACCGGACCCGGAUGAGCUUGACAUGGUGUUUGAUAGUAGUCCUAGCUAUGCGGAGCUCUUGCAACAAGUUAGGAAAGAUUUGAAUUGGAUGGACCCUAGUGAUAUCAUUGAGUUGGAGGGAAGGCAUAAUGUUGGUUUUGGAAUGCACAUCCGUUGGAAGACAAUGCGUGUCAACUCGGAGCAACGUUGGGUUGCAUACAAGGAGACGGUGGCCGAAUCACUAGACAAGGCUCUUGAGUUAUUGCAACGAAGAAGGUUGAUUCAAGUUUGCAUUUGGACUUGAACCGGAACCCCUCCCCUUUGGUUGCUAGUAGCCCCCCACCCUUGAAGCGAGAUGAAAUUGUUGAACCUCUUUUGACCGAAGAAGUGAGGCCAACAUUGAGCCCGUGUAGAAACAACCAAGAUGAAUCUUUGCAAGAGGACAAUGAUGAGUAUGCGGACGAUGACAAUGAAGUUGAUCUCCAUGACAACAAUGUGGGUGAUCUCGACAAAUAUCAUUUGCAAGAGACAAUGGACCAUUCCAUCCCUUUUUCCCGUGCAUAUGCAUCGGACUCGGAUGACGAUGGUCCCGAUGAACAAGUUGAUGCGGAGGGGUUCACGGUGAAGGAGGCCGAAGCUUUCGAGAAGGUAUUUGGUCGGGAUCACCGGACUACAUUGUUCAAGGAUGUUAGUCUCGCGGAUGAAGCCGUGGUAGAUGGUGGCCAAUGUGUAGCUCUUGGGGUUAGGCCAAGCUCUCACCGUGAUUUGGUAGACGACAAGAACCGGAUUGCUAAAGGUUCUAAGUUCGACAGCUUGUUGGAUUUGAAGAUGUGGCUCGACAACUACUCGGUUACGCAUUAUCGUCCACACAAGGUGGUGCACUCGGACGUCAAUGUGCGCUACACGGUUGCAUGUGCAUGUGAAGAUGAAAGGAGGUCCAACUUGGACUUACAAGAGGCCGUGGUGGUGGUAGAGGUCGUGGAAAGGAGGUCCAACAAGGAGUGGCAAGACGCCGUGGCGGUUGUCCGUGGAUUGUGCGUGCAAGACCAUGGAAAGGAGGUCCUACUUGGCAUGUAGUGAGUUGUGUGCCAACUCACAUGUGCCAAGGCAAAAGGGUGGAUGGCAAGAUUGUGUCCGAAGACCACAAACAACUCACGUCCGAUUUCAUCGCUUACAGGCUCUCCAACUCAAUAUCCACACUUCCAACAAUGAGCGUCCAACAUGUCAUUGACCUUGUGAAAGCCAUCUUUCAUUAAAAGGUGAAAUACGGCAAGGCAUGGAAGGCGAAGCAAGCCGCAUUUAAGAUGUUGUAUGGUACAUGGGAGGAAGCAUACAACCGAAUCCCUAGGUUGUUGUUAGCCAUGGCCGCGACAAACCCGGGCAUGGUUCAUGUGGUCAAGCCUCAUGGGCACCAAACAACGGUUCAUGAAGGAAGGAAAGUCAGAGUAUUUGGUCGUGCUUUUUGGGCGUUCGAGCAAUGUGUGAGGGCUUUCGAACAUUGUAGGCCGGUCAUCGCAAUUGAUGGCACGUUCUUGACCGGACAAUACAAGGGCACCUUGUUGGUUGCGAUAGCAAGUGAUGCCAAUAACCGGGUGUUGCCAUUGGCAUUUGCUUUGGUUGAGGUGGAAAACAAUGACAACUGGGAGUGGUUUCUACAUCUUUUGAGGACGAAGGUGUUACCCGCUGAAAGGGAAAUUUGUGUCAUAUCGGAUCGGAAUCAAGGAAUUCUUAACGCGGUGGAGAUUGACAUUCCCGGGCAUGCUCCGUUGGACCAUCGAUGGUGCAUGAGGCACUUUUGUUCGAACUUCUAUAGGGCAUGUGGCCUUAAGGAGUUGGCCGAUGAUCUUCAAUAUUGUUGUCUCGCUUUCUCCGAUAAGCGCUUCACCACUUUGUACAACAAAUUGCUCGCACACAAAAAACUUGAUCCCGGGGGUCAAGAUUUUCUCAAUAGGCACAUUCAAUACCGGAACAAGUGGGCACGUGCUUUUGAUGAAGAUGGCCGGAGAUACGGUCAAAUGACAAGCAAUAUGGCCGAAUGCUUCAAUAGGGUGCUCAAAGGUGCACGUGGAUUACCCGUGACGGCAAUAGUUCAAUACACAUUUGACAAGAUGAAUGCGUACUUUGUAAAGUACUCGAUGGAAACCGAUGCACAGAUAGCGGGUGAGAACCCACGGAAGUACAAGUACAAGUUCCCACCCAAAGUUGAUGAAUGGUUGGUAUUUCAAUCACGGAAGGCGGACUCAGAAGAAACUAUAUUAUAUGACAACGAAGAGUGGAAGUACGAAGUGAAAGAGCCAGGAGGAACCACAAACGAUGGCCGGCAACAUGGAGGUUGGGCUUUCAAGGUGUCGUUAACACAAUGUGAUUGCACUUGCGGGAGGCCAUUGUUGCUUCAUCUCCCAUGCUCACAUUUGUAUGCCGCCGGUCGCGUUAGGAAUGUGGACAUCAAUCACCCACGCACCGUGAGGGAGUCGGAGUUCUCAAUCAUGACGGUCAAGAAAACAUGGGCUCCCCGCUUUCACCCAUACUUUGACCAAUCACAAUGGCCGGAGUAUCAUGGAGUUCAACUAUGGCCGGAUCCGGAGUUGAAGGUUGUUAAACGGGGUAGACGUAAGACAAAGCGUCUUAGAGGCGACAUGGACGGAUGGGGCCAUGGUGGGCGCCGCGAAGCGGGCAACGACCAAUUCCAAGAGCCUCGUGAGAGCUCCCGUUGUGGGGAGUGCAAAGGUCAUGGCCACAACAAAAGAAAAUGUACGAAACAAAGGAAAAGGUCCAAGAAAAAUGAUGCAAGCACAAGCCAACAAGGAGCUACACAAGGGAGCCAACCAAGUGGUAGCCAACCAAGUGGUAGCCAACCUAGUGGUAGCCAACCUAGUGGUAGCCAACAAGUGCCAAGCCAACCAAGUGGUAGCCAACCUAGUGGUAGCCAACAAGUGCCAAGACAACCAAGUGGUAGCCAACAAGUGCCUAGCCAACCAAGUGUUAGCCAAAGAGGAUCUAGGCAACAAAGAGGCCGGCACAACUUGGACUUACAAGAGGCCGUGGUGGUGGUAGAGGUGGUGGUGGUGGUCUAGGCCGUGGUGGUGGUAGAGCUCGACGUGGUGGUAAUGGCCGUGGUGAUGGUCUCGGCCUUGGUGAUGGUCUUGGCCUUGGUGGUGGACUUGGCCGUGGUGAUGGACAAGCGCAAGUUCGUUAUAGAGGAAUGUUUGGAUACCUAGAUGGACCGUUUCCGUAUGUUCCUCACUAACUAUAAUGUAUCAUAUGUUCUUGUUUUUUCAUAUGUUCUUCUUUUUCAUAUGUGCUUCCAUUUGUUCUUAUUGUCCUUACUAACCAUUAUGUUUCACUCAUUGUAGGUAUGGCGGCUUCCCAACCCAACAAACCAACGAUGAAGGAGGAUGGCGAAGAUGAGAUGGCGGGAUGGUGGGAGAAGGCUGCGAAGAAGCUUAGAGAGGAGGAUGCAGCCAAGCUAAAGAAGAAGAAGGAAGAGGAGCUUGAGAACGAGAGGAAGCGAAAACAGACUGCGGCAAAUGCGAUGCGCGCUAGGGAGCAAGCGUUGAUGAGGAAAGUUGAGGAGGCACAAAAGAAGCGUCGACAGGAUUUUGAAGAAAGAACCAUGAAGCUUUGGGCAAUUGCAGCUGAAAAAGAAGAGAGGGAGAAGCAGAUAUUCAUGGAGAGGGUGGUUAAGGAGGCUCACCUCAUAAGAAAAAGGGAGGAGGAAGAGGAAGAAGAGAGGAAGAAGAAGAAGGGAAAGGGGCCUUGCUCUACGCAAUAGAGCUAUGUCAUCCUCUUCGAUUUGGUUGUGAACUACUAUGUCUCCUCUUCGAUUUGGUUGUCAACUACUAUGUGCCGUGAACUACUAUGUCUCCUCCUCGAUUUGGUUGUAAGAACUACUAUGUGCGAUGAACUACUAUGUCUCCUCCUCGAUUUGGUUGUAAGAACUACUAUGUGCGGUGAACUACUAUGUCUCCUCCUCGAUUUGGUUGUAAGAACUACUAUGUGCGGUGAACUACUAUGUCUCCUCCUCGAUUUGGUUGUCAACUACUAUGUGUCGUGAAGUACUAUGUGUCGUGAAGUACUAUGUGUUAUGAACAACUAUGUGUCAUGAAGUACUUCGUGCAUAUGUUCUUUUCACAGUUGUUUGCUUGCUAUGUGUUUGCUUGCUACUUCACAUCUGGGCGCUGCAAUCUACAUCUGCAUAGCUACAGACCUGUGCAGCGCCUAGCCCGGAGGCGCCACACUCUACAGUGCAGCGCCUGCGCGGUAGGCGUUGCACAGUAUAGUGCGACGCCUCCAGGCUAGGCGCUGCACAAACACUUAGCGAAUUUAUUGCCUCAAACUGGAGGCCUACCUUCUGUGGCUCUCUGGAUAGCUACAGACCUGUGCAGCGCCUAGCAUGGANNNNNNNNNNNNNNNNNNNNNNNNNNNNNNNNNNNNNNNNNNNNNNNNNNNNNNNNNNNNNNNNNNNNNNNNNNNNNNNNNNNNNNNNNNNNNNNNNNNNNNNNNNNNNNNNNNNNNNNNNNNNNNNNNNNNNNNNNNNNNNNNNNNNNNNNNNNNNNNNNNNNNNNNNNNNNNNNNNNNNNNNNNNNNNNNNNNNNNNNNNNNNNNNNNNNNNNNNNNNNNNNNNNNNNNNNNNNNNNNNNNNNNNNNNNNNNNNNNNNNNNNNNNNNNNNNNNNNNNNNNNNNNNNNNNNNNNNNNNNNNNNNNNNNNNNNNNNNNNNNNNNNNNNNNNNNNNNNNNNNNNNNNNNNNNNNNNNNNNNNNNNNNNNNNNNNNNNNNNNNNNNNNNNNNNNNNNNACACUAUACUGUGCAACGCCUACCGCGCAGGCGCUGCACUGUAGAGUGGCGCCCCCAAGCUAGGCGCUGCACAGGUCUGUAGCUAUCCAGAGAGCAACAUAAGGUUUGGCAAGUUACAGACCUUUGCAACGCCUAGCUUGGAGGCGCCACACUCUAUAGUGCAGCGCAUGCGAGCUAGGCGUUGCACAGGUCUGUAGCUAUCCAGAGAGCAACAGAAGGUUUGGCAAGUUACAGACAUGUGCAGCGCCUAGCCUGGAGGCGCCGCACUCUACAGUGCAACGCCUAGCACGCAGGCGCUGCACUGUAGUGUGCAGCGCCUCCAAGCUAGGCGUUGCACAGGUCUGUAGCUAUCCAGAGAGCCACAGAAGGUUUGGCAAGUUACAGACCUGUGCAACGGCUAGCUUGGAGGCGCCAUACUAUACAGUGCAACGCCUGCGGGCUAGGCGUUCCACCGUAUAGUGUGGCGCCCCCUAGCUAGGCGCUGCACAAACACUUAGCAAAUUUUUUGCCUCAAACUGGAGGCCUACCUUCUGUGCCUCCUCCCCCCCUCUACUGGGUCAUUUUCAGCCACGGUUUAACAAUUCGUAUAGGAAACAUUAAGGUUCAAAAAGGGUUCACCACAGACAUCAUUUCUUAGAAAGGACCAUCACAAUAAGUUCAAGUUUAACAUAGAGCUACCACCACUCCAAGUUCAACGACAUAACAAAUUCCACAUUACAGGUACGACCACUCCAAGUUCAACGACAUAACAAAUUCCACUCGAAGUUCAACAUUAUAAAAAAAUGACGAUGACUAGUGCUUUCCACGCUUGCUCGCUCCUCCCCCCUCUUGACGCUUAUCUUCUUCACCUUCCUAGGAAGAGGAACCCGCUCCGGCUCUGGCUCCGGCUCCGGUUCGACAUCGUCAUCCAAAUAGUCAUCCAAAGCCGCCAUCCGCGAGGUGCCGACCGUCCUUUUGCCUCUUUGGCCUCUCUGGGUGAAGUCUUCAGGUGUGUACUUGUUGAUUCCCUUCCUAGGCUUCAACUCGUAUGCAGACCAAGCCUGGUACGUCCCCAAGGUCAUAUCAUCAGCAACCUAUGCAUCAACAAAAGAUAUGGAAAGACCGUGUGUGAGGAUAUAGUUAGCAAUGCAUCAACAAAUGGAUAUAUAUCGUCAUGACAUACCUCUUGGGUGACCACACCCACAUCCUCAUCCUCGAAAUGUUCACCAUGGCUCUGCCCCGAAGCGGCAUCUGAUGGUGUCGCUGACCUAGACCGUUCUGGUGAUACAUACUCGGGGUCACGACAACCGAAAAGGUUUGAUAGCCGCCUUAACUUUUGGCCCUGGCGCUGCAACAUGUACAAGUGAAUGAGACAUGGAACGUACCAACAAAUGUUAACUGCUAGUUUGAAGGAGAUGUGAACCUUAAUGAAUGCUCGAAGUGCACCUCCCCCAUCGCUUUUGCCAGCCGGGGUUGUUUCCAGAAUAGUCUCGGUCUCAUCAGCUGCUUUCUUGAUCUGGGCACGCUAUGAACAAAAACGGUAUCAAAGUGUUAGGCAAGCGAAGAUGUGAAUAUUGCGAAUGGAAAAGCAAAAAGGGCUAACCACAAAGUUCAUCAUUGGAGCUGAAGGGAUCACCGAGUUGCCUUUCCUGACUAAUGCGUUGUACUGGUGCUGGGCUACCUCAUCAAAAACGGUGGGUUCUUCCAGAAUCUCCUCAGCAUACGCCGGCUGGCAUACAUCCACGCAGGUACUUGCAAGAAACCAUGCGAGAUAGUUGUUGAACGCGAUCGGGCAGUGCUCACGAAGCUGGGCUCGUUUUCCAGCCCUUGCUUGCUCCACACUAAGAGCGAACUGCACGACAUACUUCCUGUGAUGGUUGGCCCAAUCCUUGAUCUUCCGCUGCUUUUUCCUAUCCAACCUACAAGUUAGAAACAGAAUAUUAGCAUCAUCGAAACCGUCGAGAAGCUGCUAAGUGCUCAAGGUUAAUUAUAUCUUACGCGUGUAGCAACUUGUCCGUGUCCUCCCACUCCGGCGGGUGUGGCUGGAACAAACCAAACUGGCGGAACACCCGAUGUGGCAGGUGAAGCUCAACCGCCCAGUUGCAUAUCAGUGGGCACCGCAUAUGCCAGAGAUCCCUAUCCCUAAUGCACAUCGGAUUCAGCCUGAACUCUAUAGGGUUACCAAAACUCUCUCCUUUUCCAUACAGCUCCCAUUCCACCUGCAAAAUGGGAUUGAAUGCAAAAUUGAUAUCGAGUUACGAUACAAGCAUGAUUAUCACUUAUGCAAUGUCGGUUCACCUGCUCAGGCGUGAUCGCGUCCAGCUCGCUCUUGUACAACUUGUACAUUACCGAGGGAUCAUCUGUCGUCUCAUUUAACACAUCCCACUUGUAAGCCCAAGUGGGGAGCCGUAGUGGGUCGUCUUGAUCGUCCCAAUCCUCGUACUUCACGGUCUUCGGUCGUCCAACCGGCAAACGCUCCCAGCUCCAUAUGGAAAGUGCGAGCAGACAACCACCAAUACCUCCAGUGUGCCUACAACUGGCUUCGUCCAACUACACAUAAAAGAGAACAUGGUCAAAUUUGCCGCAAGAGCGCAUUGAUAAUGUAUCAAUGAAGUGAAAAGGAAACAACUUCAUACCUGUCGAUACAAGUAAGCUAGUGUCGCCGAACCCCAACUCCAUUUGCUAUCGAAGACAGUCAACGCCUUCAGCCACAUCCAUGGAGCAUUCUUGCCUGUGCCAUCAGCAAACAUUGUCCUGGAUAUCACGUACCACAUGUAGACACGAGCAUAUGUCUUCACCAUGUCCUCAUUAGCAUCAUCAGGGCAAUGACAGAAGUUCAAUGAUAUCCACGUGAAAGUAGCGCCCGCUGCGACUCUUUCCUUCUUCUUAUCUUCUGCUUCUGGUUCCCGAGGCUCCGGAGGAACCAUACCGAUAAGGGCUUGCAUCUGCGCGCGCCACCCAUCAGAAUCCGUGUUCAUACAUAAAGGAUUGCCAUCGAUAGGAAGACCGGUGAUCAUAGCAAUAUCCUGCAGCGUCACGGUCAUCUCCCCGGUCCGAAGAUGGAAAGUGUGUGUCUCCGGCCUCCAAUGAUCAAUAAGCGCGGUGAGUGCUGCAGCAUUGUUGGGUGGCGUCGACCGGCGGACCAACUGAAUGAAAGGGAGAAGUCCUGCCUCCCUUACAUACGGUGUGUACCGCUCAUCAUAGCGCAUCCCUCCAAGGCUGAUCCCGUGAGACCGAAGCUUCAGAGGUGCAAGCUCCUACAAACAAACAAAUCAUAACAUUACAUAUGGGGGCAUUUGUGUUUGAAAAAAAAUAAGAAAUUCAUAACACCGGCCACUUUCAGUAUUACCCGCUGCUGCACCGACAUAGCGUACGACCGGUGUUGUUUGUCCCAAUGAUCAUCGAGAAGCCAAACCAUCCUAACAAUUUCAACAAAGCAUUCUUGUCAACACGAUUAUCUUUUCAAUUCAAAAAAACUAAAGUAGGCCUACUACAUGCAAGAUUCAAAGCAUAUGUAUCCAAAACUAAACUAGGCCUACUUCAUACAAAUAACUUUUCCAUACAAAUAACAUGUCAAUCUAUAUAUCCAAACUAUAUAAAUAACAUGUCAACCUAUCUAUCCAAACCACAUUCUAAUCUAACAAGGGUUCCCCAAAUCUAAUAUAUGCAAGAUUCAAACAAAAAUUCCCCAAAUCUAAUACAUACAAGAUUCAAGGGUUCCCCAAAUCUUCAAAAUGUAAUAUUUUCUAUGGAUAGAAAGAAGGGGAUCGGAGGAGAGUACCUUCUACGAUGGAUUGGUGAAGAAAUGCACGGACCAAAUCGUCGGAUCGGAAGGAUUUGGGAGAGGGGAUUGAGAGGGGGAGUGGAGAGGGCCGCCGCCUUCUGUAACUGGCAAUAGGGUGGGUGGGGUAGGAGAGGGCUGGCGCGGUUGCAGAUAAGUCACAGUGCAGCGCCUAGCGGCUAGGCGCUGCACAUUACAUGUGUAGCGCCUAGCGGCUAGGCGUUGCACAUUACAUGUGCGGCGCCUAGCUCGGAGGCGUUGCACUGCUGGGUGCGGGCCCAUGGGCUGCCACGGUGGACAGAGGUGCAACGCCCCAGAGCUAGGCGCUGCACCGUAGGGUGUGGCGCCGGCGUGGCGGGCGCUACACAAAAGGGUCAGGGGUGUGAAAUAGUUUCGCACCCAGUUUAUUCUGUGAAUUUAUUUUGUUUUCAGGUCAAAAUUGUCAAAUUUGCCUGCUGAGAAUGGUUCUUUUGUCGGUGGUUCCAUUGAGAAACUAAACUCAGCUGUGCGAAUUGCAAAAACUACUUGGUUAGAGCAACUACAAUCUUAUCUGUUACAUAGUGAGUGAAUGCAUCUUUUAUUUCGAAUUCUCGAAGAUAGUGCAGCAUCAGCAUUCUAAGGGUGUUCAAUGCGAAUGAGAAAACAGAGUAUCUACGUCCAACAAAAAAUAGUUGGUUCCUAUCAUGUCCCAAACCAUGUGGGAGGCAAACAUCACCAGCAAGCGCACUGGGAACGUAUUGGAUCGCGUCUAUAUAGUCGUUGCCCGCAGUUCCCAUCUCAAAC
RNAcentral lists this long non-coding RNA (10644 nucleotides) under Triticum aestivum (bread wheat). Its description in RNAcentral is "long non-coding RNA (TAES_LNC017529)". Lineage: Eukaryota; Viridiplantae; Streptophyta; Magnoliopsida; Poales; Poaceae. The record is from RNAcentral.